GUACACUCCUACGGGAGGCAGCAGUGGGGAAUAUUGGACAAUGGGCGCAAGCCUGAUCCAGCCAUGCCGCGUGAGUGAUGAAGGCCCUAGGGUUGUAAAGCUCUUUCACCGGUGAAGAUAAUGACGGUAACCGGAGAAGAAGCCCCGGCUAACUUCGUGCCAGCAGCCGCGGUAAUACGAAGGGGGCUAGCGUUGUUCGGAUUUACUGGGCGUAAAGCGCACGUAGGCGGACUAUUAAGUCAGGGGUGAAAUCCCGGGGCUCAACCCCGGAACUGCCUUUGAUACUGGUAGUCUUGAGUUCGAGAGAGGUGAGUGGAAUUCCGAGUGUAGAGGUGAAAUUCGUAGAUAUUCGGAGGAACACCAGUGGCGAAGGCGGCUCACUGGCUCGAUACUGACGCUGAGGUGCGAAAGCGUGGGGAGCAAACAGGAUUAGAUACCCGGGUAGUCCC
Molecule: ribosomal RNA, 449 nt
Filed under: uncultured organism
Description: partial 16S ribosomal RNA
Rfam family: Bacterial small subunit ribosomal RNA
Source: RNAcentral